AGUGAACGCUGGCGGCAGGCCUAACACAUGCAAGUCGAACGGCAGCACAGUAAGAGCUUGCUCUUACGGGUGGCGAGUGGCGGACGGGUGAGGAAUACAUCGGAAUCUACUUUUUCGUGGGGGAUAACGCAGGGAAACUUACGCUAAUACCGCAUACGACCUACGGGUGAAAGCAGGGGAUCUUCGGACCUUGCGCGAUUGAAUGAGCCGAUGUCGGAUUAGCUAGUUGGCGGGGUAAAGGCCCACCAAGGCGACGAUCCGUAGCUGGUCUGAGAGGAUGAUCAGCCACACUGGAACUGAGACACGGUCCAGACUCCUACGGGAGGCAGCAGUGGGGAAUAUUGGACAAUGGGCGCAAGCCUGAUCCAGCCAUACCGCGUGGGUGAAGAAGGCCUUCGGGUUGUAAAGCCCUUUUGUUGGGAAAGAAAAGCAGCAGGUUAAUACCCCGCUGUUCUGACGGUACCCAAAGAAUAAGCACCGGCUAACUUCGUG
Molecule: ribosomal RNA, 492 nt
Filed under: uncultured bacterium
Lineage: Bacteria
Description: partial 16S ribosomal RNA
Rfam family: Bacterial small subunit ribosomal RNA
Source: RNAcentral